This 465-nucleotide ribosomal RNA is filed under the name Vreelandella stevensii. Its description in RNAcentral is "partial 16S ribosomal RNA". It matches the Rfam family "Bacterial small subunit ribosomal RNA", at positions 338 to 795 of the family's 1533-position model. Lineage: Bacteria; Pseudomonadati; Pseudomonadota; Gammaproteobacteria; Oceanospirillales; Halomonadaceae. The record is from RNAcentral.
CCUACGGGUGGCUGCAGUGGGGAAUAUUGGACAAUGGGCGAAAGCCUGAUCCGGCCAUGCCGCGUGUGUGAAGAAGGCCUUCGGGUUGUAAAGCACUUUCAGUGGGGAAGAAAGCCUUGGGGCUAAUACCCUCGAGGAAGGACAUCACCCACAGAAGAAGCACCGGCUAACUCCGUGCCAGCAGCCGCGGUAAUACGGAGGGUGCGAGCGUUAAUCGGAAUUACUGGGCGUAAAGCGCGCGUAGGCGGUCUGAUAAGCCGGUUGUGAAAGCCCCGGGCUCAACCUGGGAACGGCAUCCGGAACUGUCAGGCUAGAGUGCAGGAGAGGAAGGUAGAAUUCCCGGUGUAGCGGUGAAAUGCGUAGAGAUCGGGAGGAAUACCAGUGGCGAAGGCGGCCUUCUGGACUGACACUGACGCUGAGGUGCGAAAGCGUGGGUAGCAAACAGGAUUAGAUACCCUAGUAGUC